RNAcentral lists this non-coding RNA (83 nucleotides) under Bacillus sp. (in: firmicutes). RNAcentral's name for it is "Bacillus sp. c-di-GMP sequence". It matches the Rfam family "c-di-GMP-I riboswitch aptamer". Rfam says of the family: GEMM was predicted in a large-scale screen for bacterial structured RNA regulatory elements. Genes associated with GEMM are involved in a diverse array of functions, including chemotaxis regulation, signal transduction, secretion and chitin. RNAcentral also lists the same sequence under 1 other name. Lineage: Bacteria; Bacillati; Bacillota; Bacilli; Caryophanales; Bacillaceae. The record is from RNAcentral.
AAACAGAAAAGGCAAACUUAUUGAAAAAUAAGGACGCAAAACUACAGAUCUAAAGUUUUAACUAUGAUGGCUGAGUUGCCUAA